This 497-nucleotide ribosomal RNA is filed under the name uncultured bacterium. RNAcentral's name for it is "partial 16S ribosomal RNA". It matches the Rfam family "Bacterial small subunit ribosomal RNA", at positions 28 to 507 of the family's 1533-position model. The record is from RNAcentral.
GAUGAACGCUGGCGGCGUGCCUAAUACAUGCAAGUCGAGCGAACGGACGAGAAGCUUGCUUCUCUGAUGUUAGCGGCGGACGGGUGAGUAACACGUGGAUAACCUACCUAUAAGACUGGGAUAACUUCGGGAAACCGGAGCUAAUACCGGAUAAUAUUUUGAACCGCAUGGUUCAAAAGUGAAAGACGGUCUUGCUGUCACUUAUCGAUGGAUCCGCGCUGCAUUAGCUAGUUGGUAAGGUAACGGCUUACCAAGGCAACGAUGCAUAGCCGACCUGAGAGGGUGAUCGGCCACACUGGAACUGAGACACGGUCCAGACUCCUACGGGAGGCAGCAGUAGGGAAUCUUCCGCAAUGGGCGAAAGCCUGACGGAGCAACGCCGCGUGAGUGAUGAAGGUCUUCGGAUCGUAAAACUCUGUUAUUAGGGAAGAACAUAUGUGUAAGUAACUGGGCACAUCUUGACGGUACCUAAUCAGAAAGCCACGGCUAACUACGUG